CCUGAUAAAAAUGUGGCUACAAAAGAUCAAAUUUAUCCAUUUGUAGUUGUUUCUUACCAUUUGUCAUUAUUUCUAAGUCACUGUAAAGUGCCAUGUUUUUUGAUAGAUUUGGCAACAUUUGAUGUUGCUUUAUGUGAGGUAGCAUAACUUUAGCAGCAAGGAAGGUGAUAAGUAAAUAGCAUUAGCAGACGAUUGACGUUCUUUUAAGCAUACUUUAUUGCUGGCAUCUCCCUUUCACCAUAAAACAAUCUAUCAGGCAUGCAAAAAUCCCACUUGCUUUAUACAAGACUUUGCCCACACCUGACCUCGUUAGUCCCUACCAUUGAAACGAAUAGGUUAAACCAAACAAUACAUUUCUAAACAAAGAACAGGAAUAAGGUCAUGCAUGAAACUGAAACUCAUUUACUCAGCUAAAUGGUUUGUAAAGUAAAACACUGCAUACAAUAUAACUCAAAAGGCUAAUUUAAAGAAAACAAACAAUACUAUACAAAAUGAAAAACCCUCCAUUUGGUUACACCCAGUGAUGCAAUCAUUGACCUCAUGACCCUAUAUAAACAGGAAGUAGUGGGCGGCCCUUCCCACAUACCUGAUUUACACAUAGGACCUGCUCAAAGGAACACCUAAUGGUAAGCAGUUCUAGCCAGUAAAGUAAACACAGCACACGUAACCUUGUCUCUACAUACUAUCCCGGGUCUGUUUGUGGUAGCAUUGGUUAUAUUCAUUUCAUCUGUGCAAAUGUACUUAAAGCUAAAUGUCACUUCAUCAUUAAUUGAUUUGACUCUUUCAUUUGUUUGUUUUUUGGUUAUGCCAUAAGGAGAUUGCAAUUCUAGCCAGUAAAGCAUGUAGUAAUUCCUCACUGUAACAUCACCACUUUCUAAUUACACUGUUUGUUUGGUUUUUGUGGUGGUGGGGGCUUUUUUAGACUCUGUGUCUGUAACCUGUCUGAGAGAAGCUGUAAAGUUCUGUCCUCGGCUCUCAGCUCCUCUGGCCUAAGAGAGCUGGACCUCAGUGACAAUGACCUGGAGGAUUCAGGAGUGAAGCUUCUAUCAACUGCACUGGAGAGUCCACAAUGUACACUAGAAUGUCUUAGUUUGUCAUGCUGUCGGAUCACAGAAGAAGGCUGUAGUUGUCUGGCCUCUGCUCUGAGCUACAACCCCUCCCAUCUGAGAAAGCUGGACCUGAGCUACAAUCAUCCAGGAGACUCAGGAAUGAAGCUGCUGUUGGCUGGACUGAAGGAUCCAGGCUGGAGACUGGACACUCUCAGGGUGAAGCCUGCUGGA
Oreochromis aureus is the source of this 1280-nucleotide long non-coding RNA. RefSeq lists it as uncharacterized. The record is from RefSeq and is a predicted model, not a curated record. Lineage: Eukaryota; Metazoa; Chordata; Actinopteri; Cichliformes; Cichlidae. The transcript is spliced from 3 exons.